AGGUCUUUCUACUCCCAAGCUCAUGCCCUUGUUUUGCCCUUGUAGUGUCCAUGGCUACAGUUUUGCAGAGCUGUAAGGGAACACAGAUUGCCGAAGAAGGCUGAGAUCCAAUAUGGCUGUGAGGUGAGAGGGAAAGGGCUCAGGCAAGCCAAGUUGUGACCAGAUUGUGAUGAGCCCUGAAUGCUGUAAGAGUUCUGAACUUUACCCUAUAUCCAGGAGACAAUGGGAAACCAGCCAAGGAAGUUUGAAGACUCUGAACUCCCUUGAGAACAGAGGCUGUAUCUCGUUCAUCUCCAAAUCCUCAGAAACUAGCAUAAUUCCUGUUUCAAGAUUAGCACUCAGUGAAUCUAUUUUGGGACCAGUGAAUGGGAAGUAUUACUUUUAUUUCAACAGUAGAUUUGCAUAUAUUAAGGCUUUAAUAGUAUUUUGAACAUCUAAUGAUUAGUCACAAAUUAAAAUACAAUUUUAUCAUAAAAAUUUUUAAAAAGCACAAAAGCUUUCAUAAAAUAGAGAAAAGAAAAAAAAUUCUAUUCCCAGUUUUCUUUCUUUUUUUAGUGUUAUUUUAAACACUUUCCCAGAAGAAUUUCAGGAUAGUUUGUCAGAUUUGUUUUUUUCUGAAUGUUUUCCUAAAAAUUCCCACUGAGACUAGAAAUGCAUUAAAUGUAGAACAGAUUUGGGACGAACUGCCAUGUUUACUCUUUUUUGUUGUUGUUUUGUUGUUUUGUUUUGUUGUUUUGUUUUGUUUUAGGCAGAAGGGAAUAACUGAUCCCUGCCUCUUAUGUACAGGGCUGGGAAACAGUAAUGGAUGAAGACUGAGCAGUUUUCCAUUGGACACAUGAUUGCUCACGCCAGUUAUGCAAACCUUUUUUUUUUUUUUUCCUGUUUAAGGUGUUUGGGAGUUUUGUUCACUGAGAUUAUUUCAAGGUAUUUUGAUUUCCAUAGUUUUGAGUUCAGAUUAAAAAUAUAAUGUUGGCCAGGAUGUGGAGAAAAUGUAACCCUUGUGCUUUACUGGUGGGAGCGUAAAUUGGUGGAGUCACUAUAGAAAACGGUAUGAAGUUUCCUC
Molecule: long non-coding RNA, 1063 nt
Filed under: Mustela putorius furo (domestic ferret)
Lineage: Eukaryota; Metazoa; Chordata; Mammalia; Carnivora; Mustelidae
Description: lncRNA (ENSMPUG00000031500.1)
Source: RNAcentral